RNAcentral lists this ribosomal RNA (497 nucleotides) under uncultured bacterium. Its description in RNAcentral is "partial 16S ribosomal RNA". It matches the Rfam family "Bacterial small subunit ribosomal RNA", at positions 28 to 507 of the family's 1533-position model. The record is from RNAcentral.
GAUGAACGCUGGCGGCGUGCCUAAUACAUGCAAGUCGAGCGAACGGACGAGAAGCUUGCUUCUCUGAUGUUAGCGGCGGACGGGUGAGUAACACGUGGAUAACCUACCUAUAAGACUGGGAUAACUUCGGGAAACCGGAGCUAAUACCGGAUAAUAUUUUGAACCGCAUGGUUCAAAAGUGAAAGACGGUCUUGCUGUCACUUAUAGAUGGAUCCGCGCUGCAUUAGCUAGUUGGUAAGGUAACGGCUUACCAAGGCAACGAUGCAUAGCCGACCUGAGAGGGUGAUCGGCCACACUGGAACUGAGACACGGUCCAGACUCCUACGGGAGGCAGCAGUAGGGAAUCUUCCGCAAAGGGCGAAAGCCUGACGGAGCAACCCCGCGUGAGUGAUGAAGGUCUUCGGAUCGUAAAACUCUGUUAUUAGGGAAGAACAUAUGUGUAAGUAACUGUGCACAUCUUGACGGUACCUAAUCAGAAAGCCACGGCUAACUACGUG